AAGUGUGAAAAUUUUCUCUUUGCCCAGUGGGGUAGGAUUAGAUGGGGUAAGUGAGGCGGUUUUAUGGGCCAAAGUUGAAAUUCUACUGUUUUUAUUGCUUGUUUCCUUUUUCACUAACCCUGUUGGGAGAAUGUAAGGAGUCCCAGUGGUCUCUUGCUUACGGCUCCUGAUGUUCAACCCUGCACAAUCUGGAACCCAUUCUAAUGGAAAUAUUAGAAAGGUCAGGAUCCAAGGUAAGAUCAGGGACAGCAUAAACCUCCAGUGGAGCAAAGGAGCAAAAAAAUUCACUUGAUCUUGUUUUUCAGUAUGAGUAUCCAUGGAAGUGGGAAGCUCAUGAUUCUUCCCACCUUCUGAAUUUUAAGCAGGAGAUGUCAAAGAUAUUACCAUGAUGAUAAAUGACUGUUGUCACCAAGCAUUCUUAUCAACAUCUACUUUUUGAUCAUUCCAUGUUAGCUCUUCAUAUCACUGUGAAGAAAUAUUUACCACUAAUAUGAAAAGUGAGUUGGCUUUGCACAACUCACUAGUAAGUUUUAC
This 534-nucleotide non-coding RNA is filed under the name Loxodonta africana (African savanna elephant). Its description in RNAcentral is "Eukaryotic large subunit ribosomal RNA". It matches the Rfam family "Eukaryotic large subunit ribosomal RNA", at positions 2407 to 2992 of the family's 3401-position model. Lineage: Eukaryota; Metazoa; Chordata; Mammalia; Proboscidea; Elephantidae. The record is from Rfam by way of RNAcentral.